CCUGCCCCGGACUCUGGGAUAAGCGCUGGUCCUCUCUUAACUAAAACUGGAUAUGAGCUGCGAAGGCAUCUUCAGCAGUUGGAAAGAUUUUUUGGUCUGGGAUGGGCUCGCGGCCUAUCAGCUAGUUGGUGAGGUAACGGCUCACCAAGGCGUCGACGGGUAGCCGGCCUGAGAGGGUGACCGGCCACACUGGGACUGAGACACGGCCCAGACUCCUACGGGAGGCAGCAGUGGGGAAUAUUGCGCAAUGGGCGAAAGCCUGACGCAGCGACGCCGCGUGGGGGAUGACGGCCUUCGGGUUGUAAACCUCUUUCGCCAGGGACGAAG
This 327-nucleotide ribosomal RNA is filed under the name uncultured Microbacterium sp. Its description in RNAcentral is "bacterial SSU rRNA". It matches the Rfam family "Bacterial small subunit ribosomal RNA", at positions 125 to 450 of the family's 1533-position model. The record is from RNAcentral. Lineage: Bacteria; Bacillati; Actinomycetota; Actinomycetes; Micrococcales; Microbacteriaceae.